GACGAACGCUGGCGGCGUGCUUAACACAUGCAAGUCGAACGGAAAGGCCCUGCUUUUGUGGGGUGCUCGAGUGGCGAACGGGUGAGUAACACGUGAGUAACCUGCCCUUGACUUUGGGAUAACUUCAGGAAACUGGGGCUAAUACCGGAUAGGAGCUCCUGCUGCAUGGUGGGGGUUGGAAAGUUUCGGCGGUUGGGGAUGGACUCGCGGCUUAUCAGCUUGUUGGUGGGGUAGUGGCUUACCAAGGCUUUGACGGGUAGCCGGCCUGAGAGGGUCACCGGCCACAUUGGGACUGAGAUGCGGCCCAGACUCCUACGGGAGGCAGCAGUGGGGAAUAUUGCACAAUGGGCGGAAGCCUGAUGCAGCAACGCCGCGUGCGGGAUGACGGCCUUCGGGUUGUAAACCGCUUUCGCCUGUGACGAAGCGUGAGUGACGGUAAUGGGUAAAGAAGCACCGGCUAACUACGUG
RNAcentral lists this ribosomal RNA (468 nucleotides) under uncultured bacterium. Its description in RNAcentral is "partial 16S ribosomal RNA". It matches the Rfam family "Bacterial small subunit ribosomal RNA", at positions 28 to 507 of the family's 1533-position model. The record is from RNAcentral.